AUUCCAAUCGAACUCGGAGAUAGCUGGUUCUCCCCGAAAUAGCUUUAGGGCUAGCCUCAUAUUAGAUACCCGGAGGUAAAGCACUGAAUGGCCUAGCGCCCGAGAGGGUAGCGAAGCCUAUCAAACUAAGAAUGCCGGAGUAUUGAUGUAUGGGAGUCAGACAGUGUGAGAUAAAUCUCAUUGUCAAAAGGGAAACAGCCCAGAUCUACAGCUAAGGUCCCAAAUUGUAUCUAAGUGGAAAACGAUGUGGAAAUACGCAGACAACCAGGAUGUUGGCUCAGAAGCAGCCACUCAUUUAAAGAGUGCGUAAUAGCUCACUGGUCGAGCGUCUCUGCGCGGAAAAUUUAACGGGGCUAAGAUACAAACCGAAGCUUAGGCUGCACGUAAGUGCGGGGUAGGGGAGCGUUGUGUAAGCGGAGAAACAGUAGCGUAAGCGGCUGUGGAGUUUACAGAAGUGAGAAUGCCGGAAUGAGUAGCGCGAAUGUGGUGAGAAUCCACAUGGCCGGAAACCUCAGGUUUUUGGAGGAAGGUUCGUCCGCUCCAAGUUAGGCGGGAGCUAAGGUCAGGCCGAAAGGCGUAGCCGAUGCACAGACGGUAGAGAUUCCGUCCCCACCGAAAGAUUUAAGCACAGGGACACUUUUUGAAGGUCGGAGCCAGGUGUUGGUUCUGGUAGUGAUCGAGGGAAAUAUAGUACCGAAGUCCGGCUGGAAGAGAGGCGAGAAAAGCUGUGUGUAUAUCUAAGGUGCCCGUACCGCAAACCGACACAGGUAGGUAGGAAGAAGAUUCUAAGGCCAACGGGAGAAGGGUUGUUAAGGAACUCGGCAAGUUGACCCCGUAACUUCGGAAUAAGGGGUGCUCACGAGAGUGAGCCGCAGAGAAUAGGCCCAGGCAACUGUUUACCAAAAACACAGGUUUGUGCUAAAUCGAAAGAUGACGUAUACGAGCUGACGCCUGCCCGGUGCUGGAAGGUUAAAAGGAGAUGUGCAAGCAUUGAAUUGAAGCCCCAGUGAACGGCGGCCGUAACUAUAACGGUCCUAAGGUAGCGAAAUUCCUUGUCAGGUAAGUUCUGACCCGCAUGAAAGGCGUAAUGAUUUGGGCACUGUCUCAACAGCCCGCCCGGCGAAAUUGUAGUACCGGUGAAGAUGCCGGUUACCCGCGACAAGACGGAAAGACCCCAUGGAGCUUUACUGUAGCCUGAUAUUGGGUUUCGGUGUUGCAUGCACAGGAUAGAUGGGACGCUGGGAAGGCAGUGCUUUGGCAUUGCUGGAGCGGACGUUGGGAUACCAUCCUUGCGACAUUGGAAUUCUAACCUGCGCCUCUGAAUCGAGGCGGGGGACAUUGUCAGGUGGGCAGUUUGACUGGGGCGGUCGCCUCCUAAAAAGUAGCGGAGGCGUUCAAAGGUUCGUUCGAUCUGGACGGAAACCAGAUGAUUGAGUGCAAACGCAUAAACGAGCCUGACUGCGAGACUGACGGGUCGAGCAGAGACGAAAGUCGGAGUUAGUGAUCCGGUGGUAUGUGAGUGGAAAUGCCAUCGCUCAACGGAUAAAAGUUACCCUGGGGAUAACAGGCUGAUCUCCCCCAAGAGUCCACAUCGACGGGGAGGUUUGGCACCUCGAUGUCGGCUCAUCGCAUCCUGGGGCUGAAUUCGGUCCCAAGGGUUUGGCUGUUCGCCAAUUAAAGCGGUACGCGAGCUGGGUUCAGAACGUCGUGAGACAGUUCGGUCCCUAUCUGUCGUGGGCGCAGGAUAUUUGAAAGGCGCUGUCCCUAGUACGAGAGGACCGGGAUGGACGAACCUCUGGUGCACCAGUUGUCACGCCAGUGGCACAGCUGGGCAGCUAUGUUCGGAUCGGAUAAACGCUGAAAGCAUCUAAGCGUGAAGCCGGCCUUAAGAUAAGAUAUCCCACUGAGUCAAUCAGGUAAGACCCCUUGAAGACUACAAGGUUGAUAGGCACACAGUGUAAGCGGAGUGAUCCGUUCAGCUAGCGUGUACUAAUAGGUCGAGGGCUUGACCCC
RNAcentral lists this ribosomal RNA (2013 nucleotides) under human gut metagenome. Its description in RNAcentral is "bacterial LSU rRNA". It matches the Rfam family "Bacterial large subunit ribosomal RNA", at positions 826 to 2925 of the family's 2925-position model. The record is from RNAcentral.